This is an RNA transcript of Trichosurus vulpecula (common brushtail), 1086 nucleotides long. RefSeq lists it as uncharacterized. The transcript is spliced from 6 exons. NCBI's taxonomy places the organism in Eukaryota, Metazoa, Chordata, Mammalia, Diprotodontia, Phalangeridae. The record is from RefSeq and is a predicted model, not a curated record.
CUGAAAAGAAAAUUCGCCCAAUUCGAAUCUGCUGAUUGAAUCACAGAACACUUGACAAAUCGCGGGAUGAUCUCUUUAAAAAUCAACUCACCCAGUAAAAGCUGCUCCUUAUUGCAUCAUAGAACACUUGUGAUGUUAUCAUUCUAUCGCCAAGGAGGCUGUCUGAAAAGGAAAUUCGCCCAAUUCGAAUCUGCUGAUUGAAUUACAGAACACUUGACAAAUCGCGGGAUGAUCUCUUUAAAAAUCAACUCACCCAGUAAAAGCUGCUCCUUAUUGCAUCAUAGAACACUUGUGAUGUUAUCAUUCUAUCGCCAAGGAGGGUGUCUGAAAAGGAAAUUCGCCCAAUUCGAAUCUGCUGAUUGAAUCACAGAACACUUGACAAAUCGCGGGAUGAUCUCUUUAAAAAUCAACUCACCCAGUAAAAGCUGCUCCUUAUUGCAUCAUAGAACACUUGUGAUGUUAUCAUUCUAUCGCCAAGGAGGGUGUCUGAAAAGGAAAUUCGCCCAAUUCGAAUCUGCUGAUUGAAUCACAGAACACUUGACAAAUCGCGGGAUGAUCUCUUUAAAAAUCAACUCACCCAGUAAAAGCUGCUCCUUAUUGCAUCAUAGAACACUUGUGAUGUUAUCAUUCUAUCGCCAAGAACACUUGACAAAUCGCGGGAUGAUCUCUUUAAAAAUCAACUCACCCAGUAAAAGCUGCUCCUUAUUGCAUCAUAGAACACUUGUGAUGUUAUCAUUCUAUCGCCAAGGAGGGUGUCUGAAAAGGAAAUUCGCCCAGUUCGAAUCUGCUGAUUGAAUCACAGAACACUUGACAAAUCGCGGGAUGAUCUCUUUAAAAAUCAACUCACCCAGUAAAAGCUGCUCCUUAUUGCAUCAUAGAACACUUGUGAUGUUAUCAUUCUAUCGCCAAGGUAACUAACAUGGGCAGAGGGUGGUAAGAGCAAGUAAGGGACUUAGAGAGAUCAUUCCUGCAAAGGAAACAAGGAGGCAGGUUGUGGGUGGUGUUUGGGACAGUGGUAUUUUGACAUAGUAUGUAAUGUUAUGUUAUACAAAUAUUGGCUGCGGAUUAUUGUCUUAUGCUGUGAUU